Molecule: ribosomal RNA, 251 nt
Filed under: uncultured prokaryote
Description: partial 16S rRNA
Rfam family: Bacterial small subunit ribosomal RNA
Source: RNAcentral
ACGGAGGAUCCGGGCGUUAUCCGGAAUUACUGGGUUUAAAGGGUGCGUAGGCGGGGCUUUAAGCCGGCGGUGAAAUGCAGCGGCUCAACCGCUGGAAUGCCGUUGGGACUGGGGCUCUUGGAUACGGUCGGGGGGGGUGGAAAUCGUGGUGUAGCGGUGAAAUGCGUAGAGAUCGGGAGGAACACCGGUGGCGAAGGCAGCUCACCGGACCGGUAUUGACGCUGAGGCGCGAAAGCGUGGGGAUCGAACAG